RNAcentral lists this ribosomal RNA (505 nucleotides) under uncultured Glomus. RNAcentral's name for it is "SSU rRNA". It matches the Rfam family "Eukaryotic small subunit ribosomal RNA", at positions 569 to 1077 of the family's 1831-position model. Lineage: Eukaryota; Fungi; Glomeromycota; Glomeromycetes; Glomerales; Glomeraceae. The record is from RNAcentral.
AGCAGCCGCGGUAAUUCCAGCUCCAAUAGCGUAUAUUAAAGUUGUUGCAGUUAAAAAGCUCGUAGUUGAAUUUCGGGAUCAGUUGAUCGGUCGUGCCUCGGUACGUACUGGUCAAAUUGAUUCCUACCUUCUGACGAACCACGAUGUCAUUAAUUUGAUGUCGCGGGAAAUCAGGACUGUUACUUUGAAAAAAUUAGAGUGUUUAAAGCAGGCUCGCGCUUGAAUACAUUAGCAUGGAAUAAUGAAAUAGGACGUUUGAUUCUAUUUUGUUGGUUUCUAGGAUCGACGUAAUGAUUAAUAGGGAUAGUUGGGGGCAUUAGUAUUCAAUUGUCAGAGGUGAAAUUCUUGGAUUUAUUGAAGACUAACUACUGCGAAAGCAUUUGCCAAGGAUGUUUUCAUUAAUCAAGAACGAAAGUUAGGGGAUCGAAGACGAUCAGAUACCGUCGUAGUCUUAACCAUAAACUAUGCCGACUAGGGAUCGGAUGAUGUUAAUUUUUAAUGACUC